UACCCGGCUAUGGGCGAUAACGUAACGAAAGUUACGCUAAUACCGCAUAUGCCCUGAGGGGGAAAGCAGGGGACCAGUAAUGGCCUUGCGUUGUCGGAGCGGCCGAUAUCGGAUUAGCUAGUUGGUGAGGUAAAGGCUCACCAAGGCGACGAUCCGUAGCAGGUCUGAGAGGAUGAUCUGCCACACUGGGACUGAGACACGGCCCAGACUCCUACGGGAGGCAGCAGUGGGGAAUUUUGGACAAUGGGCGAAAGCCUGAUCCAGCCAUGCCGCGUGAGUGAAGAAGGCCUUCGGGUUGUAAAGCUCUUUCAGCCGGAAAGAAAACGCACUUCCUAAUACGGAGUGUGGAUGACGGUACCGGAAGAAGAAGCACCGGCUAACUACGUGCCAGCAGCCGCGGUAAUACGUAGGGUGCGAGCGUUAAUCGGAAUUACUGGGCGUAAAGCGUGCGCACGCGGUUUUGUAAGACAGACGUGAAAGCCCCGGGCUUAACCUGGGAACGGCGUUUGUGACUGCAAGACUAGAGUAUGGCAGAGGGGGGUAGAAUUCCACGUGUAGCAAUGAAAUGCGUAGAGAUGUGGAGGAAUACCGAUGGCAAAGGCAGCCCCCUGGGUCAAUACUGACGCUCAUGCACGAAAGCGUGGGGAGCAAACAAGAUUAGAUACCCUGGGUAGUCCACGACCCUAAACGAUGUCACUAAGGUGUUGGGGGGAGGAGACUUCCUUAAAUACCGCAACUUAACAAGUGGAAGUUGACCGCC
This 760-nucleotide ribosomal RNA is filed under the name uncultured bacterium. RNAcentral's name for it is "bacterial SSU rRNA". It matches the Rfam family "Bacterial small subunit ribosomal RNA", at positions 127 to 873 of the family's 1533-position model. The record is from RNAcentral.